GGAAACAGAUGCUAAUACCGCAUAACAACUUGGACCGCAUGGUCCGAGCUUGAAAGAUGGCUUCGGCUAUCACUUUUGGAUGGUCCCGCGGCGUAUUAGCUAGAUGGUGGGGUAACGGCUCACCAUGGCAAUGAUACGUAGCCGACCUGAGAGGGUAAUCGGCCACAUUGGGACUGAGACACGGCCCAAACUCCUACGGGAGGCAGCAGUAGGGAAUCUUCCACAAUGGACGAAAGUCUGAUGGAGCAACGCCGCGUGAGUGAAGAAGGGUUUCGGCUCGUAAAACUCUGUUGUUAAAGAAGAACAUAUCUGAGAGUAACUGUUCAGGUAUUGACGGUAUUUAACCAGAAAGCCACGGCUAACUACGUGCCAGCAGCCGCGGUAAUACGUAGGUGGCAAGCGUUGUCCGGAUUUAUUGGGCGUAAAGCGAGCGCAGGCGGUUUUUUAAGUCUGAUGUGAAAGCCUUCGGCUCAACCGAAGAAGUGCAUCGGAAACUGGGAAACUU
This 505-nucleotide ribosomal RNA is filed under the name Lactiplantibacillus plantarum. RNAcentral's name for it is "bacterial SSU rRNA". It matches the Rfam family "Bacterial small subunit ribosomal RNA", at positions 152 to 643 of the family's 1533-position model. Lineage: Bacteria; Bacillati; Bacillota; Bacilli; Lactobacillales; Lactobacillaceae. The record is from RNAcentral.